Molecule: ribosomal RNA, 503 nt
Filed under: uncultured Comamonadaceae bacterium
Lineage: Bacteria; Pseudomonadati; Pseudomonadota; Betaproteobacteria; Burkholderiales; Comamonadaceae
Description: bacterial SSU rRNA
Rfam family: Bacterial small subunit ribosomal RNA
Source: RNAcentral
AGAGUUUGAUCCUGGCUCAGAUUGAACGCUGGCGGAAUGCUUUACACAUGCAAGUCGAACGGCAGCACGGGGCAACCCUGGUGGCGAGUGGCGAACGGGUGAGUAAUACAUCGGAACGUGCCCAGUCGUGGGGGAUAACGUAGCGAAAGCUACGCUAAUACCGCAUACGAUCUAUGGAUGAAAGCGGGGGACCGUAAGGCCUCGCGCGAUUGGAGCGGCCGAUGGCAGAUUAGGUAGUUGGUGGGGUAAAGGCUCACCAAGCCUGCGAUCUGUAGCUGGUCUGAGAGGACGACCAGCCACACUGGGACUGAGACACGGCCCAGACUCCUACGGGAGGCAGCAGUGGGGAAUUUUGGACAAUGGGCGCAAGCCUGAUCCAGCCAUUCCGCGUGCAGGAUGAAGGCCCUCGGGUUGUAAACUGCUUUUGUACGGAACGAAAAGCCUCUUUCUAAUAAAGAGAGGUCAUGACGGUACCGUAAGAAUAAGCACCGGCUAACUACGUG